Molecule: small nucleolar RNA, 138 nt
Organism: Ornithorhynchus anatinus (platypus)
Lineage: Eukaryota; Metazoa; Chordata; Mammalia; Monotremata; Ornithorhynchidae
Source: RefSeq, a predicted model, not a curated record
CCCCGCUCAGGGUCGCACCUGGAGAGUUUCCAGUUCUCUACCAGUCACAACUAAAGGAGGGAGAGUCAAGCAGGGGCCUAUUCAUUCCAUUCCUAGCUUAAGCAGUGGCUAGGGAGUGGAAGGCAAUCUGCUACAAGU